Long non-coding RNA from Triticum aestivum (bread wheat), 546 nucleotides. RefSeq lists it as uncharacterized. The transcript is spliced from 2 exons. The record is from RefSeq and is a predicted model, not a curated record. NCBI's taxonomy places the organism in Eukaryota, Viridiplantae, Streptophyta, Magnoliopsida, Poales, Poaceae.
AAUCUGGUUCCAUGGGAAAGUAAAUUACAUCGCUCGAGCGGGUCAACAUAGCCUACAGGUUAAGUGGAUGCUAUCACUUUAUGACAUCUUUUAUUUAUUCCCAUUCAUUCUACCAUUGCUUAACUUUGUUUCAUAAACUGUUGUUGCUAUGUAUGCAAAUGCAGGAUACAUUUCUAGAGCUGAAAUUUCAGGGCAUCAAGAAUUAAUGAGCUGCAGAUAUGGCAUGUGCGUACACGAAGACCUGAUGCAUCAAAGCUCGGUGUGGACACCUCUUCUUACAUGACAUGUUUGUCUACAACUUAUCCGAGCUUCAAUUUCCAGAAUAAAACACAUGUUUUUAUUUAUUAUGGUUUCUUCUCUUAGAUAACCAAACAUUUUGCAGAUGUUGAUUUUUCAUUUCCUUCCAACGCCAUUAAAUCCCAGUGUUUUCUAAUUUGAAAUGGCUCCCCUUAGUAUCACUCCCCUCAGUUUUUGGAGGAACAUGGUGCUAUUUGGUGUUUUUGGUUGUGGAAAAAAUGUCAUUAGUCAGGCACUUUCUAAGGUGGU